RNAcentral lists this ribosomal RNA (515 nucleotides) under uncultured bacterium. RNAcentral describes it as "partial 16S ribosomal RNA". It matches the Rfam family "Bacterial small subunit ribosomal RNA", at positions 28 to 523 of the family's 1533-position model. The record is from RNAcentral.
GAUGAACGCUGGCGGCGUGCCUAAUACAUGCAAGUCGAGCGAAUGGAUUGAGAGCUUGUUCUUAUGAAGUUAGCGGCGUACGGGUGAGUAACACGUGGGGAACCCGCCCAUAAGACUGGGAUAACUCCGGGAAACCGGGGCUAAUACCGGAUAACAUCUUGAACCGCACGGUUCGAAAUUGAAAGGCGGCUUCGGCUGUCACUUAUGGAUGGACCCGCGUCGCAUUAGAUAGUUGGUGAGGUAACGGCUCACCAAGGCAACGAUGCGUAGCCGACCUGAGAGGGUGAUCGGCCACACUGGGACUGAGACACGGCCCAGACUCCUACGGGAGGCAGCAGUAGGGAAUCUUCCGCAAUGGACGAAAGUCUGACGGAGCAACGCCGCGUGAGUGAUGAAGGCUUUCGGGUCGUAAAACUCUGUUGUUAGGGAAGAACAAGUGCUAGUUGAAUAAGCUGGCACCUUGACGGUACCUAACCAGAAAGCCACGGCUAACUACGUGCCAGCCGCCGCAGUAA